Molecule: ribosomal RNA, 198 nt
Filed under: uncultured bacterium
Lineage: Bacteria
Description: partial 16S ribosomal RNA
Rfam family: Bacterial small subunit ribosomal RNA
Source: RNAcentral
ACGCUCGACACCUACGGAGGCAGCAGUCGGGAAUAUUGCACAAUGGAGGAAACUCUGAUGCAGUGACGCCGCGUGCAGGAAGAAGGUUUUCGGAUUGUAAACUGCUUUAGACAGGGAAGAGAAAGGACAGUACCUGUAGAAUAAGCUCCGGCUAACUACGUGCCAACAGCCGCGGUAAUCUGAGCGGGCUGGCAAGGC